Molecule: ribosomal RNA, 253 nt
Filed under: uncultured bacterium
Lineage: Bacteria
Description: partial 16S ribosomal RNA
Rfam family: Bacterial small subunit ribosomal RNA
Source: RNAcentral
UACGUAGGGUCCGAGCGUUGUCCGGAAUUACUGGGCGUAAAGAGCUCGUAGGUGGUUUGUCGCGUUGUCCGUGAAAACUCACAGCUCAACUGUGGGCGUGCGGGCGAUACGGGCAGACUGGAGUACUGCAGGGGAGACUGGAAUUCCUGGUGUAGCGGUGAAAUGCGCAGAUAUCAGGAGGAACACCGAUGGCGAAGGCAGGUCUCUGGGCUGUAACUGACGCUGAGGAGCGAAGGCAUGGGGAGCGAACAGG